AGCUUCAUGGCGCAGUGGAAGCGCGCCGGGCUCAUAACCCGGAGGACCUCUGAUCGAAACGGAGUGAAGCUA
This 72-nucleotide transfer RNA is filed under the name Annulohypoxylon moriforme. RNAcentral's name for it is "tRNA-Met". It matches the Rfam family "tRNA". From Rfam's summary of the family: Transfer RNA (tRNA) molecules are approximately 80 nucleotides in length. Their secondary structure includes four short double-helical elements and three loops (D, anti-codon, and T loops). Further hydrogen bonds mediate the characteristic L-shaped molecular structure. tRNAs have two regions of fundamental functional importance: the anti-codon, which is responsible for specific mRNA codon recognition, and the 3' end, to which the tRNAs corresponding amino acid is attached (by aminoacyl-tRNA synthetases). tRNAs cope with the degeneracy of the genetic code in two manners: having more than one tRNA (with a specific anti-codon) for a particular amino acid; and 'wobble' base-pairing, i.e. permitting non-standard base-pairing at the 3rd anti-codon position. The record is from RNAcentral. RNAcentral also lists the same sequence under 8 other names. Lineage: Eukaryota; Fungi; Ascomycota; Sordariomycetes; Xylariales; Hypoxylaceae.